GCAGACACAUUCCAGCCAAUCAGCAGCAGACCGUCCCUCCCUGACCCUCCCACCUCCUGGACAGCAUCCAUUUUACAUUAUUGUGAAGCUGCAUUCUUAGUGAGCUGUCCAGGAGGUGGGAGGGUCUGGGAGGGAGGGUCUGCUGCUGAUUGGCUGGAAUGUGGCUG
This 167-nucleotide microRNA precursor is filed under the name Pelobates cultripes (western spadefoot toad). Lineage: Eukaryota; Metazoa; Chordata; Amphibia; Anura; Pelobatidae. The record is from RNAcentral.